UGUGUUCGUAACUGAAUUGAG
Molecule: non-coding RNA, 21 nt
Organism: Caenorhabditis elegans
Lineage: Eukaryota; Metazoa; Nematoda; Chromadorea; Rhabditida; Rhabditidae
Source: Ensembl